RNAcentral lists this ribosomal RNA (510 nucleotides) under Candovia sp. G AC-2020. RNAcentral's name for it is "partial large subunit ribosomal RNA". The stretch from base 386 to 510 matches the Rfam family "Bacterial large subunit ribosomal RNA", at positions 2473 to 2598 of the family's 2925-position model. Lineage: Eukaryota; Metazoa; Arthropoda; Insecta; Phasmatodea; Lonchodidae. The record is from RNAcentral.
CAUCUUUUCUAGUAUUUUAUUUGAGAUCUGACCUGCCCAAUGAUUUAUUUAAAUGGCCGCGGUAUAUUGACCGUGCAAAGGUAGCAUAAUCAUUAGUUUAUUAAUUGUAGACUUGUAUGAAUGGUUGGACGAAAUAUUAACUGUCUCAUAUUAAUUUUUAUAAUUUGAAUUUUGAGUUAAAAUGCUUAAAUUUUUUUAUAGGACGAGAAGACCCUAUAGAUCUUUAUUUUUUUACUUAUUUAUAUUAUUUAGUUUAUUUUUUAUAUAAUUUUGUUAUUUAUUUUGUUGGGGUGACAUUGAUAUAUAAUUAACUAUUUAUUUUAAUAUUCAAUUAUUUUUGUAUAUUUGACCUUUUUUUAUUGUUAUAAGAUUUAGAUACCUUAGGGAUAACAGCGUAAUUUUUUUUGAGAGUUCAUAUCGACAAAAAAGAUUGCGACCUCGAUGUUGGAUUAAGAUUAUAUUUAGGUGUAGAUGCUUAAAUGUUAAGUCUGUUCGACUUUUAAAUUCUUA